AUAUAUAUAUAUAUAUAUAUAUAUAGAGAGAGAGAGAGAGAGAGAGAGAGAGAGAGAGAGAGAGAGAGCGAGCUAGGUUGGUAUACUAUCGGUAGCACGGAAGCUUCCGUGCUACCAAGUUAUUUUUAAUGAUGCGGCUUCCAAAUCGACGAUCAGCUCUGUUAGGCUUGAUCUACACUAUUAAAAGUAUUUUUCAGCAUCAUUUAUCUAUCAAACGAGUAGUCUAAAAAUGAACGAUUGAAAAUAAAAAUCUCAUAAAAAAUGAUGAUAAAAGACUUGAAUUUAAUAUCAGAGGUGUUCAUCUUACUCUAAAUAGUGAAAAAAAUUUUCUAUAAAAAUUUCAUCAGAUUUGAAUUAUUUUACACCGUUAAAUUCACAAACGCAUCACAUCUACCAUN
This 398-nucleotide long non-coding RNA is filed under the name Ananas comosus (pineapple). RNAcentral describes it as "long non-coding RNA (ACOM_LNC010487)". The record is from RNAcentral. Lineage: Eukaryota; Viridiplantae; Streptophyta; Magnoliopsida; Poales; Bromeliaceae.